Molecule: long non-coding RNA, 207 nt
Filed under: Actinidia chinensis (golden kiwifruit)
Lineage: Eukaryota; Viridiplantae; Streptophyta; Magnoliopsida; Ericales; Actinidiaceae
Description: long non-coding RNA (ACHI_LNC003795)
Source: RNAcentral
UGUCUAUUUACUAUAUAUUUAAUUUCACAAAUUAAUGAUAAUUAUUUUAUGCCUAAAAUAAUUAUAAGUCCAACUGCUGUCAGUAAGAAAUAAGGGUAGGAACCAGGUGAAUUUGACGAAUUUAUAAGAAUAGUUAGAUAAGUUAAUAAUUCAUAAUAUUUUUACUGUAGACACAUAUAUGUGUCUAGUAUGUUAGUUAAAAAUUUC